This 402-nucleotide ribosomal RNA is filed under the name uncultured prokaryote. Its description in RNAcentral is "bacterial SSU rRNA". It matches the Rfam family "Bacterial small subunit ribosomal RNA", at positions 355 to 774 of the family's 1533-position model. The record is from RNAcentral.
UAGGGAAUAUUAGUAGUGGGCGAAAGCCUGAACUAGCAACACCGCGUGUGCGAAGAAGGCCUUCGGGUUGUAAAGCACUUUUUGAGAGGAUGAGGAAGGACGGUACUCUCAGAAUAAGUCUCGGCUAACUACGUGCCAGCAGCCGCGGUAACACGUAGGAGGCGAACGUUAUCCGGAUUUAUUGGGCGUAAAGCGCGUGUAGGUGGUUUGGUAAGUAGAGCGUGAAAGCUCCUGGCUCAACUGGGAGAGGUCGUUCUAAACUGCCAGACUAGAGGAUGGUAGAGGGAGGUGGAAUUCCGGGUGUAGCGGUGGAAUGCGCAGAUAUCCGGAGGAACGCCAGUGGCGAAAGCGGCCUCCUGGACCACUCCUGACACUCAGAUGCGAAAGCUAGGGUAGCAAACG